UGCUUGGGAAUUUGCCUUUGCGAGGGGGAUAACAGUUGGAAACGACUGCUAAUACCGCAUAAUGUCUACGGACCAAAGGGGGCUUCGGCUCUCACGUGAAGAGAAGCCCAAGUGAGAUUAGCUAGUUGGUGAGGUAAAGGCUCACCAAGGCGACGAUCUCUAGCUGUUCUGAGAGGAAGAUCAGCCACACUGGGACUGAGACACGGCCCAGACUCCUACGGGAGGCAGCAGUGGGGAAUAUUGCACAAUGGGGGAAACCCUGAUGCAGCCAUGCCGCGUGUGUGAAGAAGGCCUCGGUUG
This 300-nucleotide ribosomal RNA is filed under the name uncultured Alteromonadaceae bacterium. RNAcentral describes it as "bacterial SSU rRNA". It matches the Rfam family "Bacterial small subunit ribosomal RNA", at positions 114 to 425 of the family's 1533-position model. The record is from RNAcentral. Lineage: Bacteria; Pseudomonadati; Pseudomonadota; Gammaproteobacteria; Alteromonadales; Alteromonadaceae.